RNAcentral lists this ribosomal RNA (253 nucleotides) under uncultured bacterium. RNAcentral describes it as "partial 16S ribosomal RNA". It matches the Rfam family "Bacterial small subunit ribosomal RNA", at positions 524 to 776 of the family's 1533-position model. The record is from RNAcentral.
UACGGAGGGGGCUAGCGUUGUUCGGAAUUACUGGGCGUAAAGCGCACGUAGGCGGCUUUCUAAGUCAGGGGUGAAAUCCUGGAGCUCAACUCCAGAACUGCCUUUGAUACUGGAGAGCUUGAGUCCGGGAGAGGUGAGUGGAACUCCGAGUGUAGAGGUGAAAUUCGUAGAUAUUCGGAAGAACACCAGUGGCGAAGGCGGCUCACUGGCCCGGUACUGAUGCUGAGGUGCGAAAGCGUGGGGAGCAAACAGG